RNAcentral lists this ribosomal RNA (497 nucleotides) under uncultured bacterium. RNAcentral describes it as "partial 16S ribosomal RNA". It matches the Rfam family "Bacterial small subunit ribosomal RNA", at positions 28 to 507 of the family's 1533-position model. The record is from RNAcentral.
GAUGAACGCUGGCGGCGUGCCUAGUACACGCAAGUCGAGCGAACAGACGAGGAGCUUGCUCCUCUGACGUUAGCGGCGGACGGGUGAGUAACACGUGGAUAACCUACCUAUAAGACUGGGAUAACUUCGGGAAACCGGAGCUAAUACCGGAUAAUAUAUUGAACCGCAUGGUUCAAUAGUGAAAGACGGUUUUGCUGUCACUUAUAGAUGGAUCCGCGCCGCAUUAGCUAGUUGGUAAGGUAACGGCUUACCAAGGCAACGAUGCGUAGCCGACCUGAGAGGGUGAUCGGCCACACUGGAACUGAGACACGGUCCAGACUCCUACGGGAGGCAGCAGUAGGGAAUCUUCCGCAAUGGGCGAAAGCUUGACGGAGCAACGCCGCGUGAGUGAUGAAGGUCUUCGGAUCGUAAAACUCUGUUAUUAGGGAAGAACAAAUGUGUAAGUAACUAUGCACGUCUUGACGGUACCUAAUCAGAAAGCCACGGCUAACUACGUG